AACAUUCCCCCAGGGGCUCCUGAUUACCCCAGGAAUGAACUUCAGACUCCUUACAAGAUCCUAUGUGGGCCGGGUGCGGUGGCUCAUGCCUGUAAUCCCAGCACUUUGGGAGGCCGAGUCAGGUGGAUCAUGAGGUCAGGAGAUCGAGACCAUCCUGGCUAACACAGUGAAACCCCGUCUCUACUAAAAAUACAAAAAAUUAGCUGGGUGUGGUGGCGGGCGCCUGUAGUCCCAGCUACUCGGGAGGCUGAAGCAGGAAAAUG
Molecule: long non-coding RNA, 263 nt
Filed under: Pan troglodytes (chimpanzee)
Lineage: Eukaryota; Metazoa; Chordata; Mammalia; Primates; Hominidae
Description: long non-coding RNA NONPTRT008989
Source: RNAcentral